This 374-nucleotide ribosomal RNA is filed under the name uncultured organism. RNAcentral's name for it is "partial 16S ribosomal RNA". It matches the Rfam family "Bacterial small subunit ribosomal RNA", at positions 527 to 896 of the family's 1533-position model. The record is from RNAcentral.
GUAGGUGGCAAGCGUUUGUCCGGAAUUAUUGGGCGUAAAAGCGCGCGCAGGCGGUUCUUUAAGUCUGAUGUGAAAGCCCACGGCUCAACCGUGGAGGGUCAUUGGAAACUGGAGAACUUGGGUACAGAAGAGGAAAGCGGAAUUACCACGUGUAGCGGUGAAAUGCGUAGAGAUGUGGAGGAACACCAGUGGCGAAGGCGGCUUUCUGGUCUGUAACUGACGCUGAGGCGCGAAAGCGUGGGGAGCAAACAGGGAUUAGAUACCCUGGUAGUCCACGCCGUAAACGAUGAGUGCUAAGUGUUAGGGGUUUCCCGCCCCUUAGUGCUGCAGCUAACGCAUUAAGCACUCCGCCUGGGGAGUACGCCGCAAGGCUG